This 801-nucleotide long non-coding RNA is filed under the name Brassica napus (rape). RNAcentral describes it as "long non-coding RNA (BNAP_LNC009617)". Lineage: Eukaryota; Viridiplantae; Streptophyta; Magnoliopsida; Brassicales; Brassicaceae. The record is from RNAcentral.
GUAAAUUCCACGUAAGCAGAAAUCGUCGUAAAUACCUCGUAAGCCAACGAGGAAAUAACGACGAAAUUUAAAAAUAAAGAUGGAGUUUAGAAUAUAUGAAAAUAAGGAAUAUGGAAUUUGGGGUUUGGGGUUUGAGGUUUCAGGUUUGAGGUUUGGGGUUUGGAAUAUGGGGUUUGGGGUUUCGGGUUUGGGGUUUGGGGUUUUGGGUUUGGGGUUUGGGGUUUAGAGGUUUCGGGGUUUGAGGUUUGGGGUUUGGGGUUUCAGGUUUGGGGUUUGGGGUUCGGGGUUUGGGGUUUAGAGGUUUCGGAUUUUAGGGAUUUAAACAUAAUACUCGUUAAUUCCACGUAAGCAGAAAUCGUCGUAAACACCACGUAAAAGGAUUUAAACAAAACACUCGUUAAUUCCACGUAAGCCCAAAUCGUCGUAAAGACCACGUUGGAUGAAAUCGUCGUAAAUACCACGUUGGAUGAAAUCGUCGUAAAUACCUCGUAGUGUAAAAACUAGAAAAAAAAGGAAAAGGAGAAAAAUAUCAGAUUAACAUGUGGCAAGACUUCCAGCAAUUAUAAUACGUAAGUCUCGCCCACAUGAAUUCUAAUAUCUUCUCAUUUUUCUAUUUUUUUCAAAUAUUUAUAAUUUGAAUAUGAUUUUGCUGAAGAAUGUGAUUUGAGAUAGGGUGUGAUUUGGGAGUUUGUGUGUGGUUUGAGAAUGAGAGUUGUGGGUAUAUUUAUAGGAAAGCAAGGCUCGUUAAUUCCACGUAAGUAAAAUCGUCGUUAAUACCUCGUAUAUAAAAACACGGGCCUU